RNAcentral lists this long non-coding RNA (288 nucleotides) under Brassica napus (rape). RNAcentral's name for it is "long non-coding RNA (BNAP_LNC005966)". Lineage: Eukaryota; Viridiplantae; Streptophyta; Magnoliopsida; Brassicales; Brassicaceae. The record is from RNAcentral.
CUGUCCGUUCCUCCUUCCCAAAGAGAAGAAGAUGGCGAUCUCCAACAGGAUCCUGAUCAUCCGAUCUUUAAUGGUAAAUCCUCAGUUACAUUAGUUUCUCUUAUUAAUCUGUCAUAUAUAUCUUGUCCCCUUUGAAAGUGUUUUACGAAGAACAAACAUAAAUCAGAUCUAACCUUUUUUAAUCUCUUUUGCAUGUUGGAUCUGAUGACUUUCUUGGUUAUUCCGAUGAGCUGGAAACAUGUUACGAUGCCUUAUUAAUAAAUAAGUUUUUAUUGAAAGUUUAAGCCG